This is a non-coding RNA of Phrynosoma platyrhinos (Desert horned lizard), 72 nucleotides long. NCBI's taxonomy places the organism in Eukaryota, Metazoa, Chordata, Lepidosauria, Squamata, Phrynosomatidae. The record is from the annotation of a GenBank genome assembly.
GGCAGCAUGGUAUAAUGAUUCGAAUGUUGGACUAUAACUCUGGACACCAGGGUUCAAAUCCCUGCUUGGCCA